Molecule: long non-coding RNA, 1330 nt
Organism: Oncorhynchus tshawytscha (Chinook salmon)
Lineage: Eukaryota; Metazoa; Chordata; Actinopteri; Salmoniformes; Salmonidae
Source: Ensembl
GAAGACUAAUUUGCUGAAUGAAAAAAAAAAAACCUGAGGAUCAGAUGGUGACAGGUGUCCCAGCAGGGUCAGACAGCUGCCAGAGAAGACCAGUCUACAGAGCUCAGGAUAAGAUGGUGACUGGUCUCAACAGGGUCAGGCAACUAGGGAAGACCAGUUUGUGAUGGCGCUGAGGGGAACUCUAGGAGAUGCAGCAAACACUGGACAAGCUAGAAACUUCAAAGAUUAAAACUAUUUGCAGGCAGUUUGACAAACUUCUAAAGUUGAUUUCCAAACUGUAUUAAGAGGCUUUUCCCGAUGACACAAAACAUGUAAAACAGAAAUGUGAGGAAGAUCUAGGAGACACUACUGAUGAUUGGAUACAGUCAUGUUCAUAUAAUCUCAGACAUAAAUUACUCCAGUUUAAGACCCUCCAUAGACUGUACUAUAUGCCAGUGAAACUGAAUAUCAUGCUUUCAGAAAUGUAAUUCCUCUGCUGAAGGUGUAAAACACAAAAGAGGACAUAUUUCAGUAUGUUAUACUCUUGUGAAGGCUGGCUGAAUUCGGGCAGUGUUCUUUUAUCUCAGCAUGUCUACAGAUUCUCCCUUCUCCCUGUUUUUGUUUGCUUGGGAAUGUUGAUACUGGAGACUCUUACCUGAAGAAUCUCUGUAACCAAGCAUUUAUGUCUAAGAAAUGCUUUGCAAUUAAUUAGAUGGUUGGUUAUCCUCCCACGAUGUAUGGCAGAAAUGUCAAGUUAUGUAUCACUAGAUGAAUUACAAGAUUAAGAGUACACUGUGCAACUUUCAUAAGGUCUGGAUGCCUUAUAUAGAAUACUGUAAGACAAAAGGAGUCUGUAUUGAAAACAUGCCCAUGUCAGGGGAGAUACCUAUUUAGGCAAUCCCUAGCUGCUGGGCUGUUCAGUCCUGGCUCAGGGGGUCUGCCGUACUGUCACUCUGGCCUUGGCCUAACACACCUGAAACCGAUAAUGAAUGUUUCACUAAGAUCCUAAAGCAGACUGGGGUGUUUGGUUGGGGCGGUGGACCCCUGAGGGCAGGACGAGAUGAUCCAGCUAUAUUGUGUACAAGUAAAAAUAGCUCUACAGUAAGAUUAGGCCUAUGGUAUGAAUGACAGUGCCCUCUGUAAUUAUUGGGACAGUCAAGCAUUUUUUUUCUAAUUUGGCUCUAUGCUCAAAGUUUGGAUUUGAAAUUAAACAUUGACUAUGAAGUUAAUGUGCAGACAGUCAGCUUUCAUUUCAGGGUAUUUUUAAAAUCAAUAUCGGGAAACUUAUUUCGAAAUUACAGAACGUUUUGUACAUAGUUCCCCCAUUGUAGGGAAGCAAAAGUAUUUGGAC